Molecule: ribosomal RNA, 254 nt
Filed under: uncultured bacterium
Lineage: Bacteria
Description: partial 16S ribosomal RNA
Rfam family: Bacterial small subunit ribosomal RNA
Source: RNAcentral
GACGAACCGUGCGAACGUUAUUCGGAAUCACUGGGCUUAAAGCGCGUGUAGGCGGACGGGUGCGUCGGCUUCUGAAAGCCCCCGGCUCAACCGGGGAAGUGGGGCCGAAACGACCCGUCUCGAGGGACGUAGGGGGAUCUGGAACUUCCGGUGGAGCGGUGAAAUGCGUUGAGAUCGGAAGGAACGCCCGUGGCGAAAGCGAGAUCCUGGACGUUUUCUGACGCUGAGACGCGAAAGCUAGGGGAGCAAACGGG